Small nucleolar RNA from Impatiens glandulifera, 100 nucleotides. RefSeq annotates it as small nucleolar RNA snoR1. Lineage: Eukaryota; Viridiplantae; Streptophyta; Magnoliopsida; Ericales; Balsaminaceae. The record is from RefSeq and is a predicted model, not a curated record. The transcript has a single exon.
GGCAAAGAUGAUUGAUGCUUAUUUCUAACACCUCUUGUAUGAGAAUUGACUCUAAUAUUAAAGUCUCUUCUUUGAGAAAAUUUAACAACUUUUCUGAGCU